RNAcentral lists this transfer RNA (72 nucleotides) under Ictidomys tridecemlineatus (thirteen-lined ground squirrel). RNAcentral describes it as "Spermophilus tridecemlineatus (thirteen-lined ground squirrel) tRNA". It matches the Rfam family "tRNA". From Rfam's summary of the family: Transfer RNA (tRNA) molecules are approximately 80 nucleotides in length. Their secondary structure includes four short double-helical elements and three loops (D, anti-codon, and T loops). Further hydrogen bonds mediate the characteristic L-shaped molecular structure. tRNAs have two regions of fundamental functional importance: the anti-codon, which is responsible for specific mRNA codon recognition, and the 3' end, to which the tRNAs corresponding amino acid is attached (by aminoacyl-tRNA synthetases). tRNAs cope with the degeneracy of the genetic code in two manners: having more than one tRNA (with a specific anti-codon) for a particular amino acid; and 'wobble' base-pairing, i.e. permitting non-standard base-pairing at the 3rd anti-codon position. Lineage: Eukaryota; Metazoa; Chordata; Mammalia; Rodentia; Sciuridae. RNAcentral also lists the same sequence under 1 other name. The record is from Rfam by way of RNAcentral.
UGGGGUGUGGCUCAGUGAUAGAGCUCUUGACUAACAUGUAUGAGGCACUGGGUUCAAUUCUCAUCACCUCAU